This 538-nucleotide ribosomal RNA is filed under the name uncultured bacterium. Its description in RNAcentral is "bacterial SSU rRNA". It matches the Rfam family "Bacterial small subunit ribosomal RNA", at positions 777 to 1315 of the family's 1533-position model. The record is from RNAcentral.
AAUAGAUACCCGGGUAGUCCACGCCCUAAACGAUGUCAACUAGCUGUUGGGGUUUAUUAACCUUAGUAGCGCAGCUAACGCGUGAAGUUGACCGCCUGGGGAGUACGGUCGCAAGAUUAAAACUCAAAGGAAUUGACGGGGACCCGCACAAGCGGUGGAUGAUGUGGAUUAAUUCGAUGCAACGCGAAAAACCUUACCUACCCUUGACAUGUCUGGAAUCCCGAAGAGAUUUGGGAGUGCUCGCAAGAGAACCGGAACACAGGUGCUGCAUGGCUGUCGUCAGCUCGUGUCGUGGGAUGUUGGGUUAAGUCCCGCAACGAGCGCAACCCUUGCCAUUAGUUGCUACAUUCAGUUGGGCACUCUAAUGGGACUGCCGGUGACAAACCGGAGGAAGGUGGGGAUGACGUCAAGUCCUCAUGGCCCUUAUGGGUAGGGCUUCACACGUCAUACAAUGGUCGGGACAGAGGGUUGCCAAGCCGCGAGGUGGAGCCAAUCGUCAGAAACCCGAUCGUAGUCCGGAUCGCAGUCUGCAACUCGA